AAGGGAGGCUAAUACUGGAUACGUUCUUCGGAUCGCAAGGUCUGGAGAGGAAAGGUAGCGAAAGCUGCCGCUCUUGGAGGGGCUCGCGGCCUAUCAGCUAGUUGGUGAGGUCACGGCUCACCAAGGCGAUGACGGGUAGCUGGUCUGAGAGGACGACCAGCCACACGGGAACUGAGACACGGUCCCGACUCCUACGGGAGGCAGCAGUGGGGAAUUUUCCGCAAUGGGCGAAAGCCUGACGGAGUGACGCCGCGUGGGGGACGAAGGCCUUCGGGUCGUAAACCCCUGUCAGAGGGAAAGAAGGGUGUCGGUGUGAAUAGCGCCGGCAUCUGACGGUACCUUCAGAGGAAGCCCCGGCCAACUCUGUGCCAGCAGCCGCGGUAAGACAGAGGGGGCAAGCGUUGCUCGGAAUCACUGGGCGUAAAGGGCGCGUAGGCGGGAUGGCAAGUCGGUCGUGAAAUCCCUCGGCUCAACCGAGGAGCGUCGGCCGAUACUGCCGUUCUUGAGGGAUGCAGAGGAGACUGGAAUUCCCGGUGUAGCGGUGAAAUGUGUAGAGAUCGGGAGGAACACCGGUGGCGAAGGCGGGUCUCUGGGCAUCUCCUGACGCUGAGGCGCGAAAGCGUGGGGAGCAAACGGGAUUAGAUACCCCGGUAGUCCACGCUGUAAACGAUGACGACUAGGUGUGGGGUGGUUCAGUCCACUCCGUGCCGCAGCUAACGCAUUAAGUCGUCCGCCUGGGGAGUACGGCCGCAAGGUUGAAACUCAAAGGAAUUGACGG
This 778-nucleotide ribosomal RNA is filed under the name uncultured bacterium. RNAcentral's name for it is "bacterial SSU rRNA". It matches the Rfam family "Bacterial small subunit ribosomal RNA", at positions 155 to 916 of the family's 1533-position model. The record is from RNAcentral.